RNAcentral lists this ribosomal RNA (301 nucleotides) under uncultured bacterium. Its description in RNAcentral is "partial 16S ribosomal RNA". It matches the Rfam family "Bacterial small subunit ribosomal RNA", at positions 509 to 809 of the family's 1533-position model. The record is from RNAcentral.
CAGCAGCCGCGGGAAUACGGAGGAUCCAAGCGUUAUCCGGAAUCAUUGGGUUUAAAGGGUCCGUAGGCGGUCUUGUAAGUCAGUGGUGAAAGCCCAUCGCUCAACGGUGGAACGGCCAUUGAUACUGCAGGACUUGAAUUAUUGGGAAGUAACUAGAAUAUGUAGUGUAGCGGUGAAAUGCUUAGAGAUUACAUGGAAUACCAAUUGCGAAGGCAGGUUACUACCAAUUGAUUGACGCUGAUGGACGAAAGCGUGGGUAGCGAACAGGAUUAGAUACCCCCGUAGUCCCUGUCUCUUAUAU